This 76-nucleotide transfer RNA is filed under the name Desulfobulbaceae bacterium. RNAcentral describes it as "tRNA-Gln". It matches the Rfam family "tRNA". Rfam says of the family: Transfer RNA (tRNA) molecules are approximately 80 nucleotides in length. Their secondary structure includes four short double-helical elements and three loops (D, anti-codon, and T loops). Lineage: Bacteria; Pseudomonadati; Thermodesulfobacteriota; Desulfobulbia; Desulfobulbales; Desulfobulbaceae. The record is from RNAcentral.
UGGGGCGUAGCCAAGUGGCGAAGGCACCGGGUUUUGAUCCCGGCAUUCGUAGGUUCGAGUCCUACCGCCCCAGCCA